UAUUAAAGUUGUUGCAGUUAAAAAGCUCGUAGUUGAAUUUCGGGGUUAGUAGGUUGGUCAUGCCUCUGGUAUGUACUGGUCUCACUGAUUCCUCCUUCCUGAUGAGCCGUAAUGCCAUUAAUUUGGUGUUGCGGGGAAUUUGGACUGUUACUUUGAAAAAAUUAGAGUGUUUAAAGCAAGCUAACGCUUGAAUACAUUAGCAUGGAAUAAUGAAAUAGGACGUUCGAUCCUAUUUUGUUGGUUUCUAGGAUUGACGUAAUGAUUAAUAGGGAUAGUUGGGGGCAUUAGUAUUCAAUUGUCAGAGGUGAAAUUCUUGGAUUUAUUGAAGACUAACUACUGCGAAAGCAUUUGCCAAGGAUGUUUUCAUUAAUCAAGAACGAAAGUUAGGGGAUCGAAGACGAUCAGAUACCGUCGUAGUCUUAACCAUAAACUAUGCCGACUAGGGAUCGGAUGAUGUUAAUUUUUUAAUGACUCAUUCGG
This 480-nucleotide ribosomal RNA is filed under the name uncultured Glomus. Its description in RNAcentral is "SSU rRNA". It matches the Rfam family "Eukaryotic small subunit ribosomal RNA", at positions 602 to 1083 of the family's 1831-position model. The record is from RNAcentral. Lineage: Eukaryota; Fungi; Glomeromycota; Glomeromycetes; Glomerales; Glomeraceae.